CUAGUUGGUGGGGUAAAGGCUCACCAAGGCGACGAUCCGUAGCUGGUCUGAGAGGACGACCAGCCACACUGGGACUGAGACACGGCCCAGACUCCUACGGGAGGCAGCAGUGGGGAAUUUUGGACAAUGGGGGCAACCCUGAUCCAGCCAUGCCGCGUGAGUGAAGAAGGCCUUCGGGUUGUAAAGCUCUUUCAGACGGAAGGAAACGGUCACGGCCAAUACCCGUGACUAAUGACGGUACCGUAAGAAGAAGCACCGGCUAACUACGUGCCAGCAGCCGCGGUAAUACGUAGGGUGCGAGCGUUAAUCGGAAUUACUGGGCGUAAAGCGUGCGCAGGCGGUUUUGUAAGACAGACGUGAAAUCCCCGGGCUUAACCUGGGAAUUGCGUUUGUGACUGCAAGGCUAGAGUGUAGCAGAGGGGGGUAGAAUUCCACGUGUAGCAGUGAAAUGCGUAGAUAUGUGGAGGAAUACCGAUGGCGAAGGCAGCCCCCUGGGCUAACACUGACGCUCAUGCACGAAAGCGUGGGGAGCAAACAGGAUUAGGUACCCUGGUAGUCCACGCCCUAAACGAUGUCAACUAGGUGUUGGGGAAGGAGACUUCUUUAGUACCGCAGCUAACGCGCUAAGUUGACCGCCUGGGGAGUACGGUCGCAAGAUUAAAACUCAAAGGAAUUGACGGGGACCCGCACAAGCGGUGGAUUAUGUGGAUUAAUUCGAUGCAACGCGAAAAACCUUACCUACCCUUGACAUGCCAGGAACCCUGCUGAGAGGCGGGGGUGCCCGAAAGGGAACCUGGACACAGGUGCUGCAUGGCUGUCGUCAGCUCGUGUCGUGAGAUGUUGGGUUAAGUCCCGCAACGAGCGCGACCCUUGCCAAUAAUUGCCAUCAUUCAGUUGGGCACUUUAUUGGGACUGCCGGUGAUAAACCGGAGGAAGGUGGGGAUGACGUCAAGUCCUCAUGGCCCUUAUGGGUAGGGCUUCACACGUAAUACAAUGGUCGGUACAGAGGGUUGCCAAGCAGCGAUGCGGAGCCAAUCCCAGAAAGCCGAUCGUAGUCCGGAUUGUUCUCUGCAACUCGAGAGCAUGAAGUCGGAAUCGCUAGUAAUCGCGGAUCAGCAUGUCGCGGUGAAUACGUUCCCGGGUCUUGUACACACCGCCCGUCACACCAUGGAGUGGAAUCUGCCAGAAGUAGGUAGCCUAACCGCAAGGAGGGCGCUUACCACGGUGGGUUUCAUGACUGGGGUGAAGUCGUAACAAGGUA
Molecule: ribosomal RNA, 1261 nt
Filed under: metagenome
Description: bacterial SSU rRNA
Rfam family: Bacterial small subunit ribosomal RNA
Source: RNAcentral